RNAcentral lists this ribosomal RNA (489 nucleotides) under uncultured bacterium. RNAcentral's name for it is "partial 16S ribosomal RNA". It matches the Rfam family "Bacterial small subunit ribosomal RNA", at positions 30 to 506 of the family's 1533-position model. The record is from RNAcentral.
AUUGAACGCUGGCGGCAGGCCUAACACAUGCAAGUCGAACGGUAACAGGAAACAGCUUGCUGUUUCGCUGACGAGUGGCGGACGGGUGAGUAAUGUCUGGGAAACUGCCUGAUGGAGGGGGAUAACUACUGGAAACGGUAGCUAAUACCGCAUAACGUCGCAAGACCAAAGAGGGGGACCCUCGGGCCUCUUGCCAUCGGAUGUGCCCAGAUGGGAUUAGCUUGUUGGUGGGGUAACGGCUCACCAAGGCGACGAUCCCUAGCUGGUCUGAGAGGAUGACCAGCCACACUGGAACUGAGACACGGUCCAGACUCCUACGGGAGGCAGCAGUGGGGAAUAUUGCACAAUGGGCGCAAGCCUGAUGCAGCCAUGCCGCGUGUAUGAAGAAGGCCUUCGGGUUGUAAAGUACUUUCAGCGGGGAGGAAGGGAGUAAAGUUAAUACCUUUGCUCAUUGACGUUACCCGCAGAAGAAGCACCGGCGAACUCCGU